RNAcentral lists this ribosomal RNA (301 nucleotides) under uncultured bacterium. RNAcentral's name for it is "partial 16S ribosomal RNA". It matches the Rfam family "Bacterial small subunit ribosomal RNA", at positions 509 to 810 of the family's 1533-position model. The record is from RNAcentral.
CAGUCGCCGCGGGAAUACGUAGGGUGCGAGCGUUAAUCGGAAUUACUGGGCGUAAGCGUGCGCAGGCGGUUCGUUAAGACAGAUGUGAAAUCCCCGGGCUUAACCUGGGAACUGCAUUUGUGACUGGCGAGCUAGAGUAUGGCAGAGGGGGGUAGAAUUCCACGUGUAGCAGUGAAAUGCGUAGAGAUGUGGAGGAAUACCGAUGGCGAAGGCAGCCCCCUGGGCCAAUACUGACGCUCAUGCACGAAAGCGUGGGGAGCAAACAGGAUUAGAGACCCCUGUAGCCCUGUCUCUUAUACAC